GGUUUCCCUAGUACGGCGAGUGAAGAGGGAAGAGCCCAAGAUUGAAAGCUGGCGUCUUCGGCGUCCGCAUUGUAAUCUCAAGAAGUGUUUUCCGCUUCGGACCAUGCCUAAGUCCCUUGGAAAAGGGCAUCAUAGAGGGUGAUAAUCCCGUUCAUGGCAUGGAGCGCCCGAAGCUUUGUGAUACGCUUUCUAAGAGUCGAGUUGUUUGGGAAUGCAGCUCAAAAUGGGUGGUAAAUGCCAUCUAAGGCUAAAUAUUGGGGAGAGACCGAUAGCGAACAAGUACAGUGAUGGAAAGAUGAAAAGAACUUUGAAAAGAGAGUUAAACAGUACGUGAAAUUGCCAAAAGGGAAGGGUAGGAGGUCAGAGAUGCGUCUUGGAAUUCAGCCUUGCUUCUGCUUGGUGUUUUUUCCAUUUUGCAGGCCAACGUCGGUUUUGGGCACUGGAGAAGGGUGGAAGGAACGUGGCACCUCUCGGGGUGUGUUAUAGCCUUCUACUGGAUACAGCGACCGAGACCGAGGACAGCAGCGUACUCGCAAGAGCGGGCCUUCGGGCACCUUUACGCUUAGGGCGUUGGCAUAAUGGCCCUCUACCAC
RNAcentral lists this ribosomal RNA (593 nucleotides) under Sporisorium graminicola. RNAcentral's name for it is "partial large subunit ribosomal RNA". It matches the Rfam family "Eukaryotic large subunit ribosomal RNA", at positions 73 to 648 of the family's 3401-position model. The record is from RNAcentral. Lineage: Eukaryota; Fungi; Basidiomycota; Ustilaginomycetes; Ustilaginales; Ustilaginaceae.